GGUGCUGCAUGGCUGUCGUCAGCUCGUGUUGUGAAAUGUUGGGUUAAGUCCCGCAACGAGCGCAACCCUUGUCCUUUGUUGCCAGCGCUUUGGGGGGGAACCUCAAGGAAAAUGGCCGGGAAAAACCGGAAGAAGGGGGGGAUGAACUCAAGUCAUUCUGGCCCUUACGGGCAGGGGUACCACCCGGGUAACAUGGGGCGUACAAAAGGGUUGCAACCCCCCGGAGGGAAGCUACUCCAAAAAAACCGUUCUAAUCCGGAAUGGAAUUCUCAACCCCACCCGCUGAAAUCCGAAUCCCUU
RNAcentral lists this ribosomal RNA (300 nucleotides) under uncultured Gammaproteobacteria bacterium. RNAcentral describes it as "partial 16S ribosomal RNA". It matches the Rfam family "Bacterial small subunit ribosomal RNA", at positions 1037 to 1337 of the family's 1533-position model. Lineage: Bacteria; Pseudomonadati; Pseudomonadota; Gammaproteobacteria. The record is from RNAcentral.